UACAGAGGUCGCGAGCGUUAAUCGGAUUUACUGGGCGUAAAGCGUGUGUAGGUGGUUGUUCAAGUCGGUUGUGAAAUCCCCGGGCUCAACCUGGGAACUGCUUCCGAGACUGAGCGACUAGAGAUCGGUAGAGGGCGGUGGAAUUUCCGGUGUAGCGGUGAAAUGCGUAGAUAUCGGGAAGAACAUCGGUGGCGAAGGCGGCCUGCUGGGCCGUUGCUGACGCUGAGGCGCGACAGCGUGGGGAGCAAACAGG
This 253-nucleotide ribosomal RNA is filed under the name uncultured bacterium. RNAcentral's name for it is "partial 16S ribosomal RNA". It matches the Rfam family "Bacterial small subunit ribosomal RNA", at positions 524 to 776 of the family's 1533-position model. The record is from RNAcentral.